AACCAUGCAAGUCGAGCGGUAACAGAUCCAGCUUGCUGGAUGCUGACGAGCGGCGGACGGGUGAGUAAUGCAUAGGAAUCUGCCCGAUAGUGGGGGAUAACCUGGGGAAACCCAGGCUAAUACCGCAUACGUCCUACGGGAGAAAGGGGGCUCCGGCUCCCGCUAUGGGAUGAGCCUAUGUCGGAUUAGCUAGUUGGUGAGGUAACGGCUCACCAAGGCCACGAUCCGUAGCUGGUCUGAGAGGAUGAUCAGCCACAUCGGGACUGAGACACGGCCCGAACUCCUACGGGAGGCAGCAGUGGGGAAUAUUGGACAAUGGGGGAAACCCUGAUCCAGCCAUGCCGCGUGUGUGAAGAAGGCCCUCGGGUUGUAAAGCACUUUCAGCGAGGAAGAACGCCUAGCGGUUAAUACCCGCUAGGAAAGACAUCACUCGCAAAAGAAGCACCGGCUAACUCCGUGCCAGCAGCCGCGGUAAUACGGAGGGUGCAAGCGUUAAUCGGAAUUACUGGGCGUAAAGCGCGCGUAGGUGGCUUGAUAAGCCGGUUGUGAAAGCCCCGGGCUCAACCUGGGAACGGCAUCCGGAACUGUCAAGCUAGAGUGCAGGAGAGGAAGGUAGAAUUCCCGGUGUAGCGGUGAAAUGCGUAGAGAUCGGGAGGAAUACCAGUGGCGAAGGCGGCCUUCUGGACUGACACUGACACUGAGGUGCGAAAGCGUGGGUAGCAAACAGGAUUAGAUACCCUGGUAGUCCACGCCGUAAACGAUGUCGACCAGCCGUUGGGUGCCUAGCGCACUUUGUGGCG
This 800-nucleotide ribosomal RNA is filed under the name Halomonas sp. RNAcentral's name for it is "bacterial SSU rRNA". It matches the Rfam family "Bacterial small subunit ribosomal RNA", at positions 51 to 848 of the family's 1533-position model. The record is from RNAcentral. Lineage: Bacteria; Pseudomonadati; Pseudomonadota; Gammaproteobacteria; Oceanospirillales; Halomonadaceae.